Molecule: long non-coding RNA, 173 nt
Organism: Sapajus apella (tufted capuchin)
Lineage: Eukaryota; Metazoa; Chordata; Mammalia; Primates; Cebidae
Exons: 3
Source: RefSeq, a predicted model, not a curated record
GUGCCACUGCACUCCAGCCUGGGUGACAGAGCAACAAAAAAAGAAAAAACAAAAACUGAAGACUUUGCUUUCUCCAUCUCAGCUCUACCAUUUGCCAGCUGUAUAACCUUUGAAAAAAAACAAUGUUUCACUUUUUCAAACAAUGUUUCACUUUUCCUCAUCCUUUACAGGUU